GUGUCAGCAGCCGCGGUGAUACGUAGGUGGCAAGCGUUAUCCGGAAUUAUUGGGCGUAAAGCGCGCGCAGGUGGUUUCUUAGGUCUGAUGUGAAAGCCCACGGCUCAACCGUGGAGGGUCAUUGGAAACUGGGAGACUUGAGUGCAGAAGAGGAAAGUGGAAUUCCAUGUGUAGCGGUGAAAUGCGUAGAGAUGUGGAGGAACACCAGUGGCGAAGGCGACUUUCUGGUCUGUAACUGACACUGAGGCGCGAAAGCGUGGGGAGCAAACAGGAUUAGAAACCCCUGUAGUCC
Molecule: ribosomal RNA, 292 nt
Filed under: uncultured Bacillus sp.
Lineage: Bacteria; Bacillati; Bacillota; Bacilli; Caryophanales; Bacillaceae
Description: partial 16S ribosomal RNA
Rfam family: Bacterial small subunit ribosomal RNA
Source: RNAcentral